This 649-nucleotide ribosomal RNA is filed under the name uncultured bacterium. RNAcentral describes it as "bacterial SSU rRNA". It matches the Rfam family "Bacterial small subunit ribosomal RNA", at positions 43 to 671 of the family's 1533-position model. The record is from RNAcentral.
CAGGCCUAACACAUGCAAGUCGAGCGGAAACGAGUUAUCUGAACCUUCGGGGAACGAUAACGGCGUCGAGCGGCGGACGGGUGAGUAAUGCCUAGGAAAUUGCCCUGAUGUGGGGGAUAACCAUUGGAAACGAUGGCUAAUACCGCAUAAUGCCUACGGGCCAAAGAGGGGGACCUUAGGGCCUCUCGCGUCAGGAUAUGCCUAGGUGGGAUUAGCUAGUUGGUGAGGUAAUGGCUCACCAAGGCGACGAUCCCUAGCUGGUCUGAGAGGAUGAUCAGCCACACUGGAACUGAGGCACGGUCCAGACUCCUACGGGAGGCAGCAGUGGGGAAUAUUGCACAAUGGGCGCAAGCCUGAUGCAGCCAUGCCGCGUGUGUGAAGAAGGCCUUCGGGUUGUAAAGCACUUUCAGUCGUGAGGAAGGUAGUGUAGUUAAUAGCUGCAUUAUUUGACGUUAGCGACAGAAGAAGCACCGGCUAACUCCGUGCCAGCAGCCGCGGUAAUACGGAGGGUGCGAGCGUUAAUCGGAAUUACUGGGCGUAAAGCGCAUGCAGGUGGUUUGUUAAGUCAGAUGUGAAAGCCCGGGGCUCAACCUCGGAAUUGCAUUUGAAACUGGCAGACUAGAGUACUGUAGAGGGGGGUAGAAUUUCA